UACGAAGGGGGCUAGCGUUGCUCGGAAUUACUGGGCGUAAAGGGCGUGUAGGCGGUCAGGUAAGUGGGAUGUGAAAUGCCCCGGCUCACCCGGGGACCGGCAUCCCAUACUGCUUGGCUUGAGUACGGGAGAGGAUGUGGGAAUUCCUGGUGUAGCGGUGAAAUGCGUAGAUAUCAAGUGGAACACCAGUGGCGAAGGCGAGUCUCUGGACAUUUCCUGACGCUGAGGCACGAAAGCCAGGGGAGCAAACGGG
This 253-nucleotide ribosomal RNA is filed under the name uncultured bacterium. RNAcentral describes it as "partial 16S ribosomal RNA". It matches the Rfam family "Bacterial small subunit ribosomal RNA", at positions 524 to 776 of the family's 1533-position model. The record is from RNAcentral.